RNAcentral lists this transfer RNA (75 nucleotides) under Pleurocapsa sp. SU_196_0. RNAcentral describes it as "tRNA-Asn". It matches the Rfam family "tRNA". Rfam says of the family: Transfer RNA (tRNA) molecules are approximately 80 nucleotides in length. Lineage: Bacteria; Bacillati; Cyanobacteriota; Cyanophyceae; Pleurocapsales; Pleurocapsaceae. The record is from RNAcentral.
UGACUCGUAGCUCAGCGGUAGAGCGUCCGACUGUUAAUCGGAACGUCGCAGGUUCGAUCCCUGCCGAGUCAGCCA